GCUACAUAGGAUUAGAACUAGAAGGAGUCAAUCUUCGAUUGGUUUCCGGAUCUGUCAAGAGGAUUUUUGGUAAUUCCUCUACUGUUCUUCAUUUGUUCAUCAUUGUUCUUCAAUAUUAUGAAUACAACUUUGUUCUAUUUCAAUAUAUUGAUUAUGACUUUGCUCUACUCGUUUAUAUUUGCAAUUAUAUCGUUCUUAGUUUAUCAUAGUUAUAUGCUUGGCUUAGUUAGAUUGGAAUUAUAUACAUGUUUAGGAUCGUAUAGUGUUUAUCCAUCGGAUCCAUGGGUAAAUGAUAGAUAUUGUGUAGGCGUGGUGCCUAUACCGUAUUUAUCUGCAAUUGUACCCUAUAUGCCGAAUCGUGGGGUAGUUUGUGCUGGUGACAGCUCCAUUGAUUCUUAUAUAGUCCCUCUCCCGUGUAUAGGGUAGGCAGACCAAGACAAGUGUGGAGAGAAAAGAUAGUUCUACAUGAAGAUGAGGCGCCGCCGGAACCACCGUCUACGCCAUCCAGCGAAUCCCAGGACAACUGAGAACACAAGGAGUCCCGUUCAAAGGACUUAAAAACACCGAACGCCGUGCCAAGAGGUAAACUUGGUAUUUAUCACUUUCCCUUUUGUUAUUUACUUUUUCUUAAAAAGCUUGUUUAAUUAAUCAGGUUCAUACUAUCUUAAAAAGAAAAAAAAGUAAGCCCCAUGUGAGUAUACGAGUGGCAUAAAACCCAUAAGUACAUUCACUGUGGUGGUAUAAAAAUAAAAUAAAUAAUUUUUCCUACUCUAUAAAAUGAAAAUAUAAAAAUCGAGAGUAACACUUAUUGAGGAAGCUCAACAUGAUAAAGGCUAGGUAUUUAUGGUAACACUUAACCUGUUCCACAAAGCUUUGUUGUCUAUUUGAGCUCCACAUAAUUCAAAGAAGACUAGCAGACGGAGGACAUCCUAAUCGCUGUCAUGGUGCUGCCGACAUUCAAAUACACCUGUGCCACCUGUUAGCUACAUCACAAGAAAUUACGUCAAGAUCUAGCAUGGGGGAGAGCACCCCCAUUUAUCCCCCU
RNAcentral lists this long non-coding RNA (1045 nucleotides) under Sorghum bicolor (sorghum). RNAcentral describes it as "long non-coding RNA (SBIC_LNC008754)". Lineage: Eukaryota; Viridiplantae; Streptophyta; Magnoliopsida; Poales; Poaceae. The record is from RNAcentral.